This 255-nucleotide ribosomal RNA is filed under the name uncultured bacterium. RNAcentral's name for it is "partial 16S ribosomal RNA". It matches the Rfam family "Bacterial small subunit ribosomal RNA", at positions 524 to 776 of the family's 1533-position model. The record is from RNAcentral.
UACGUAGGGACCAAGCGUUGUUCGGAUUUACUGGGCGUAAAGGGCGCGUAGGCGGCGUGUUAAGUCAGCUGUGAAAUCUCCAAGCUUAACUUGGAACGGUCAGCUGAUACUGAUGUGCUAGAGUGCAGAAGGGGCAAUCGGAAUUCUUGGUGUAGCGGUGAAAUGGCGUAGAUAUCAAGAGGAACACCGUGAGGUGAAGACGGGUUGCUGGGCUGACACUGACGCUGAGGAGCGAAAGCGUGGGGAGCGAACAGG